This 16-nucleotide ribosomal RNA is filed under the name Laburnicola hawksworthii. RNAcentral's name for it is "partial 28S ribosomal RNA". Lineage: Eukaryota; Fungi; Ascomycota; Dothideomycetes; Pleosporales; Didymosphaeriaceae. The record is from RNAcentral.
UGACCUCGAUCAGUAC